This is a non-coding RNA of Xyrichtys novacula (pearly razorfish), 770 nucleotides long. Lineage: Eukaryota; Metazoa; Chordata; Actinopteri; Labriformes; Labridae. The record is from the annotation of a GenBank genome assembly.
CGGGAAACAGGUCGGCAAACUGGUUUGUAUGAGUGAGGUUGAUGAUCACAGCGUAUUUGGGGAACUUGAUUGUUCUCUUUAUCUCAAAGGUCCGUGAACAGAAAUGUUUACAGGUAUCUGUUUGAUUCGAAAGAAAAUGGGAUUAUAACAUUCACGGAAUCACCACACUAUAUUUGGAUUUCCCAACACUUGAAGGGUGAGUUUCUGAGUUCCUUAUUUUAACAUGAUGAAAUAGAAACACUGCUGGAGGAAAAGAUUUACAUUUGUGACGAUGAAAUCAAAAAAGCACUAAACAACAGAGGAGUGAAUCUACCUUUUACUCUGUGCCAUACUAAAUACAUAAUAGUAUCAUUUAGGAGAAGUCGAACAGGGUCAUUCCAGUCACUGUUAUCACACCAUCAGAGACACUUAUAUUUCCCGCAUGUGGAUGUCAGACUCUGAUUAGUUAUCCUAAACAUAAUACAACUUCAGUCACAACCUCUACCUCUUAGGUCUUAUCUCUCUCUCUCUCUCUCUCAGACACUUUAUGAGGGAGCACUAUGAUUCUGAUAUGGUAUCUUUUAGUUUGUAUGUUGUAAAGUAAACGCUGGUCUCACCACUCAGCUAAAAGAGUGCUUUUAAUGUCUGAUAGUCACAACAUUGGAAUUGUUAUGCUCCAGGCCUGGUCCACUUGAAUCAUGAGAAAACUGACCCCCACUCUACGGAGGACCUUGUUUGUGCUCCUGGGAAUCGGUUUCAUCUGGUGUCUAAGUUUUCCAUAUGUCAUCCUG